This is a long non-coding RNA of Amphiprion ocellaris (clown anemonefish), 3308 nucleotides long. The record is from Ensembl. Lineage: Eukaryota; Metazoa; Chordata; Actinopteri; Pomacentridae.
GGAAGUGGUCAUCAGGAAGUGUAGAGCCAAACAGAGUACGGUGCAUAGACUGUACAGACAUUUUUUUCCGUUAGUUUUCAUGGUCAGAAUGAGAGAUCAGGUGGCCGAUCUUAAAAUAAAUCAAUAUUGAUUUUUUUUAUAGAGCAUUAAAGUUUUGCAAAGCGAGGAGGCGGGACUACUUGAUUGACAGUCCGGUCUGGAAUGAUUGACAGGUCCUAUGGAGGAGGCAGCAGAGACUCUGUUCUCCUCGUUUGGAUUAAUUCUGAUAUAAUAACUGUUGGUUUAUUUAUCGGUGGAGCAGCAGAACAUUUUCCAGGCAGUUUUCCUUCCCGUUGGCUUGUUUUAACCAGUUUUCUACCUUCGGCUGAUUCUACCAGCAGACACUGAAAGGACUCUGAUAGUUCGAGUGAAAGCAGCAGUUCCUCCUUAAGGUCAGAGAUUGCAGCAUCUGAGGACCUCUUCAAAAGAAGAUGUAGUUGAUGAAGGCGUUCUGGAGCAGGACCAGAAAGACCACGACCAAGCAGCCUUUACAUCUUAGGCAGCGUCUCCCUGAGACCAAAGAACUACAGACUCUUCACAACCUGCUCAAACUCUUGGUACAGGACCUCACCACACGGGUCAAGAAGGUUUCUGUCUCAUUUCUACUCUGAAGAUCACCUUCUCCUGCUCAAACUGCUGACAAAUGUUUCUGCUGCUCUAAAGUCUGGUCUCCAGAACUUCCUAAAAACUCUCAAAGUCUCUUCUGCUGCAGGUUGCUUUGUAGAACUGUCGCAGAAAACCUCACUAAACCACAUGGAGGGGCCUCAAGAUAGUCGUCCAAAUGAAAUCGUACAAAAACCAAACUAGCACAACCCAAACACUAAACUCUCCUGCAGCCUACCAGAGAACCUCUGAGAACAGAGAAUCAGGACAGGAACUCUUACCUUCUGGACAACCAACAUUGGUUCUCAAACAAGAAUACAGAAUGUGUCUGACCAAAAACCUCUAAAGACUCACUACAGCCAAGAUAAAGACACAACUCAGCUGCACCAAAUCCACUAAUCACUGCACACAUUAGGACCAUGUGCUAACUGUGGCUAAAGAACCACAUUUACCAAGACAACUAUCCAGUACAAAGCCAUAAAACACACCAAGAAACACAUUAAAGACGAUUUUACUGCUGGAAGCUGCAAGCCAACACCUAAAGAACAAACUGAAGCAAUGGCGCUAAACCUGAUUCAGUGGUGAAUAGAAGCAGAGGAAAUGUUUGUCUGCAGCUAAAUAAAGCAGGAAGACACUGAGCUGCUCAGGUGUUCCUGAUAACACCAAGCAGCCACCUGGACAGCCAAUAAGAACACAGCUUCCUGGAAGUCCAGAGGGCUGGGUUAGUGAAGGAAAUUUAAUUUAAAGUUGAAGCAGAAAGUUAACAAAGAAAGUUGAAAACCACCUUCUGAUACCUGAAAUCUCUGAGUUUUCACACAAAGAACACCUGAACAUGUCAAACUGGUUUCAUAGUAGAACCAUCAUUGUAAAAACGUCAUAGUAUGGUGUGUUGCUCAAAAAACAUUACGACCCGGCUGUCUAGGGUCACUGAGGAGCAACACAAAAACAGGACAAACGCUGGUUUCCAGGGGGUUAGGCGGCUAUUUAUUUGAAAGAGCAAGUUUACAACAACACAUGUGAGCAGAAAAAUCACAGUCUGUCUUUCGUUCAGCUGAAAAUAUUAGUUUUUGCCUUUUUUAUUGACCAAAUUUUUCAGGAAGUAGAUGAAGAAUAAUUAAAGCUCUCAUGUAGAAGUCCAACUUAUUUUGGCUCCUUGUGGAGAGUUUAAUCUUAGAGUUUGUACAGCUGUUUAGUUUUUAGAGUCACAUGGAUUGUUUUGUCUUCCCCUCUACCUCUUCUGUCCCUCUCAACCCGCCCGGUCAGCAGGCAGAUGGGUCCCCCCACAUUAGAGCCGGGUUCUGCUCGAGGUUUUUUUCCCUGUUAAAAGGGUGUUUUCCUUGCCACUGUCACCUUUUGGCUUGCUCUGGAGGUCAGGCAUAUUGGUUCUGUAAAGCGUCUCGAGACAAUUUGACUGUAAUUGGCGCUAUAUAAAUAAAAUUGAAUUGAAUUGAAUUUAAUAACUGAGUCCUGAAAUAAAAUUACAGUUGUGGAUUUCUGUCAUUUAGUCUGGACUAAACAAAUAACAGCAGCAUAAAUCUCAAAUGUCAUUAUGAGGAGUCUGGAUUGAGGUUUCUCACUUGAUAACGAUCAAAACAUGAAAUUUAGGUUGGUUUAAAGGAAUAUUCCACCUUAAAUCUUUGAAUGUUGACCUAAAAGGUUGGUUUCAGGAAGUAUUCCACCUACAAGGUCCUCAAACAUCCACCUUAAAGGAACAUUCUACCAAAAACCCUUGGACAUGCACCUAAAAUGUUGCUUUAACCGAGUAUUCCAUCCAAAAUCCUCAAAGAGACCUGAGGGGCUGGUUAAAAGGAAUAUUCCACCUAAAACCUCAAAUAUAGACCCGAAAGGGUUGUUUAGAAAAAAUCCUUCAGUGUAGACCAAAAAAGUUAGUAUGGAGGAAUAUUCCACCUGAAAUGUAGACCUGAGAAGUUGGUUCGGAAGAAUAUACCAUCCUAAACAUCCUUAAAUGUAGACUAAAAGACAGUUUGGAAGAGAAUUCCACCUAAAAUCCUCCAAUGUAGACCUAAAAGGUGAGUUUAAUGGUACAUUCGACAUAAAAUUCACGACUGUAGACCUUGGAGGUUAGUCUGAUGAUAUAUUCCACCCAAAAUACCAAGAAGUCAGUGUAAAGGAAAUGUAGACCUAAAAGGAUUGUUUAAAGGAAUAUUUAAACAGUUAUUUUCAUUAUUUAAUAAUCUGUUAUCAGUCAGAACCCUGGCAAACUUAUUUUCAUCAGUUUUUUAGUGGAAGUCACAAAUAAAGGAGCUCUUGGUUUUUCCCAGCGUUACUGAGUCAAAAGCUGCUGUUUCAACACAGACACGUUCACAUGCAUCCACAAACCUCUCAGCACUCAAACACCCACAGACAGGAGGCCGGCUGGACCGAGGCUCGGCGGCGUCCUCAGACCCACGAGUCGGGGAGUCGGUGAACUUGUUGGUCCGGUUUGAAGGCCUCCGUGUGGUCCAGUAGAAGUCCACGUAGUCGGUGUUGGCUUUGAACCACAGCGACUGGCCGCCAUCAGGUGGACCGGCUCGUACUCGUAGGGCUCCUCCUGUAGCCUUGAGGGAACCACAGGAACAUUCAGUAGCUGUUGGAGUUCUUCCUGUCAGGCUCGUAGUAGAACGGCUCUGAAGAAUCUUGUACUUGUCUUAUCUGGAACAAUCUAA